AGUUAAUUAGCUUAAUAAAGCCUAUGUUUUGAAAGCAUAUUUUAGAGGUUUAAAUCUUCUAUUAACUU
This 68-nucleotide transfer RNA is filed under the name Togoperla sp. KW-2014. Its description in RNAcentral is "tRNA-Ser". It matches the Rfam family "tRNA". Rfam says of the family: Transfer RNA (tRNA) molecules are approximately 80 nucleotides in length. Their secondary structure includes four short double-helical elements and three loops (D, anti-codon, and T loops). Lineage: Eukaryota; Metazoa; Arthropoda; Insecta; Plecoptera; Perlidae. The record is from RNAcentral.